GGGCUGACGCUCUGCUGCUGAGGUUAGGACCAUUGCUGUUUGCUCAGCUGCUUUGUGCUUUUGGAAAGCAAGGGGAAAAGUAGCUUAAAUUCUGGUUUCUUUCUCCUCCCCCAAGAACCAUGUUCUCAUGAUAAAUUUGUAACCAGAGCCCAGUGUUUUCAGAUUAUGUUUGAUAACUUAGAAAAGCAGUGUGGUUCCAAAUCUUACCUUUCCAUCCUGCUCCCUUUCAACAGAUUUCAGUGCCAUAUUCUACUUUAGGAGCAUCAUUCAUUAGGAUAAAAGUAAUUGGGUCCCUCUGUCUGCUUAGGAUAUGCAUAUGACAGACACUUCCUGGACUUCAGCUAUUUUUCUGUGAAAUUCUGCUAAUGAAAAGCUGGUCAUGCGGGAUGGUUUGUCCUUUUAAAUCUAUAGCAUGGGAUGACAUUACUGUAUUGCUUCCCAUCUGCUGUCACUGAGGUCACUGCUCUGGCACAGAGCAGAACAGCUGCAGAGAUUGAGUGAUGGCUCUGCUACUGCUUCCUGGAGGGAUGAAAGUGGAAAUAAGCCUCAGGAAAAGGAAAUUGUCAGCCAUGCUCCCUGUCCUGGCCAUCUGAGUAUGGGAAAGGCUUGGCAAGUGUCUCCAUUUUUUUUUUCCUUGGAGAAAGGCAGGAUCUUUUCCCCCUGUCUGCUAAGCUACUGCUUAAAUAAAACUGCCAUAAUGUACUUUCAGUGGUGAUUCUUGACAUUGUCCCAUUUCAGGUGUGGGCCCCACCUCACCCCACUGUCCAAGAAGACUGUUAAUGUUGAGGAUUGUCUCUAGAAGCCACAUCCAGAAAGUGUUUCUGCUCCUUUUGCUGUGGAAUGAAAGCUGUACAUCACAAACUGGGACAGUAAGGAAUAACCAGCCUACCUGGCAGCAAUGAGAAACAUCCCUGAAGGCUUCCUUUGUCCAAGAGCAGCUAAUCACAAGCUAAAAUUCCUAUAAUGCAGGAGAUAGGAAUGCACGGCACAAGGAGCGCUCAUGACCUGAGAAACAGGAUCUACACGUGCAAGUCUCUACACCUGCUCUUGAAGGAGAUAAGAGUUGGGUCAUGACUUGGAGAAAUAAGAAAAGCAAAAAGGAGGAGGAACAUGAUUUCCUUUGCAGGUGACAGCUUUGGCUGGUGCAGUUCAGUGGCAGAGCUGUGGCUUUGGGAUUAGCACAGUGUUAUCCUGUGCCUGAAUUGCCCCUGGCCUGGGAGAACCUUUGUGAUGCCUUGAGCCUCCACUGGAAAGUGCUCAGAGACAUAGAUGGUAUGAAAAACAGCACAUUCAAGCCAGAAAGAGGACAGGAAAGAGGACUGCAGAAGGGACCAGAAUACUUAACAGUCAGCAAAGCGUAAGUAAAUAGACAAGUUAUGAUCAAUGAGUUUGUUUGAAUUUGACAGAGCUUUCCUACAAACAUGGGGGAGGGAAGGGGAGUGAAACGUUCCCCGCCACUGUGAGCUGUAAUAAGGGACCUGCUGUUUUCUGAUUCUCACUCUCUGUGAAAAUUGAAAAGGUUAGCCAGGUAAUUGAAAUCGGGACUGGAAUACAAAUACGGUGGUGAAAACCCUACAGCUGGCAGAAAAGAGUCAAUCCUCGAUGGAA
This is a long non-coding RNA of Gallus gallus (chicken), 1608 nucleotides long. RefSeq lists it as uncharacterized. Lineage: Eukaryota; Metazoa; Chordata; Aves; Galliformes; Phasianidae. The transcript has 3 exons. The record is from RefSeq and is a predicted model, not a curated record.